CAGCGGGCCAGUGACCCCUGAAUCAGUGGUUCCCGAAGAUGGCUGCGAAACCAGUGUUGGCUGCAGCGUCUGUGUGAAUGAUGGGUGAAGAAAUGGAGAGAGGGGGGAUAAACAUGGAGAUACCGUUCCUAUCUGCCAAGAACUUCCCCCACAUAGCUAAGUCAGCCCUGACGUAGGGGUCCAAUGAAACUGGGCAGGAGUCCGGUACCCCAUGGAGCAGGCAGAGAAGCCUGGAUAUAAAUGACCUUCCCUGCGGAAUGAUGCGCAUAGCGAAGUUAAGGGAUCCCAGAAGGGACUGAAGUUCCCUUUUGGUGCAUACGUCACUCCGCAGAAACAUUUCUAUUUCCUCUCUCAAGCGGAUCAGUUUGUCGUGAGGAAGGCUAGCUCGGAGGGUAACAGAGUCCAGCUCUAUCCCAAAAAAGGUUAGUUCAGUUGUGGGGCCGAUAGUUUUUGAUGUGGAUAAUGGUACCCCAAGUUUGGAGAAAAGUGCUGAAGUACUGCGGAUAGCGGUGGGUGUUUGUGCCUCUGGUUCUAUCAGUAAGAAGUAGUCUAAGUAGUGGAUGACAG
Non-coding RNA from Pelobates cultripes (western spadefoot toad), 567 nucleotides. The record is from the annotation of a GenBank genome assembly. NCBI's taxonomy places the organism in Eukaryota, Metazoa, Chordata, Amphibia, Anura, Pelobatidae.